CGGACACACUCUGGAGAGUCUCACAAAUGAGCGCCGAAGGUGUAAGGAUCGCAAGGUCCCAAUCUCUCAGGCAAAAGGACAGAGCAUAAAGA
Regulatory RNA element from Dialister sp. CAG:357, 92 nucleotides. It matches the Rfam family "Glycine riboswitch aptamer". Rfam says of the family: This family represents the bacterial glycine riboswitch. Glycine riboswitches usually consist of two metabolite-binding aptamers domains with similar structures in tandem. The aptamers cooperatively bind glycine to regulate the expression of downstream genes. The record is from Rfam. Lineage: Bacteria; Bacillati; Bacillota; Negativicutes; Veillonellales; Veillonellaceae.